AAGCUCGACUGAAAAUAAGCUCAAACAGCAAUUCGCCAAAUUAACGAGUCACCUCACUUGUGACCAAAUCACAGAGAGAUGCUGAACCCCAAGCUUUUGCUUCCUGGAAUAUAUGUAGUUUGAAGAGACUUCACUUAGCAGCUUCAAAAGAAGGCAAGAUCAUAAUCGCAGAGUAAAUCCUAAAAAAGUUGCAGGAAGAAAUAAAGAGAUGAGAAGAGAACUUUGAUAAAGUACUGGUUGGAUAAGCAAGAAUUUGAUAGAGGAUACAGUCAAUCUUUACCUACAGAGACAAGCGAAGCAAGUGGUUCAUUAUUCCUCUUUGGAUUAAACAACAAGCAGAAGACCCACCACAGGACUCACCAUAGAUGACAUCAGCAGCCAAAAGCAUUUCACUGCUUAAUCAUGAAACAGAUUCAACAUUGAAACAAUACCAAAGACUCAUUCGUUGAAACGGAAGAUGCAUGCCAUGGUCAUUUUGAGUGGGUGUUCGAUAAAUAUUGAUGCUCGGAAUACUGACGCAGAAGUUCUGCCAGCUAAGCACCAUCAAAGAAAGGCUCAAGGAUCCAGAGAACCAGAUGAACUGGAGGUGGUACCAAUUUCCAGAUGAUAAACAUCCAGACCGAUAGCCAGUAGACUCAUCUAUAUUACGCAUGUCUACUGAUUUAAAUCAUCAACUAGAUGCCAAAUAUGCAUAUGGUAUUAUGAGUGGUUUGGUGUACUAUGAGAGGCUCGGUCUUUGGGUUUAAGAUGCAUUCCGUGUCACUUCUCAGCCACUAAGAGGUAAAAGGUAGUGGAGAAUGGGCAGUACACAAUUUUCCUUCUUUUCUAGCAUUGCUUUUUCUUUCCCAUUUUCAUCUUAGAAGAUGUUUCAGUAAACUUCAUACUCUGUAUUUUCUAAAGCUAAAGAGAAUGGCUACAUCCUAUUUUUUGAUGGUUUUUGGUUUUCAUACUAUAUCUGCGAAGAGAGAAAACGGAGAUAUGAUUAUACAAUCCAAGCGGAUGAUCCCUCUAGUAUCUGGAUAACUCGAGAGUGUGUGCCAGCAGGCUCAAGGUUCUAAAUCGAGGGAGGAAUUAAGCAGUGUCUCAUGUUCUUUAAUUCUGUGAAUUCGAGUUCGCACAGUACUAUGCAAGGUUGUUAUUCUUCCUAUGAAUAUAUAUGUUUUUGUUUGUUGUUGCCCUUUGGGAUUCUUUUAAAAAUCCAC
RNAcentral lists this long non-coding RNA (1202 nucleotides) under Mustela putorius furo (domestic ferret). RNAcentral's name for it is "lncRNA (ENSMPUG00000024146.1)". Lineage: Eukaryota; Metazoa; Chordata; Mammalia; Carnivora; Mustelidae. The record is from RNAcentral.